This is a long non-coding RNA of Pistacia vera, 617 nucleotides long. RefSeq lists it as uncharacterized. The transcript has 3 exons. Lineage: Eukaryota; Viridiplantae; Streptophyta; Magnoliopsida; Sapindales; Anacardiaceae. The record is from RefSeq and is a predicted model, not a curated record.
AAAGUAUGAGGGAUUUUGGGUAUCUGGGUGUUGCAUUCUUCUGGCAUUAGUGGGAAAGCAACAGCAGAUAAGACCUACAAAGUGGAGCGAUGUGCAUCAAGAAUGAUGGUAAAUGAUGUUGGUACAUUGUAUUUGCAGGCAAAGGCAGCAGCGAUUGAUGGUAAAUAUUCUUCUAUUUGCAUUAAAUUAUUUAAGGGGCAGAAUGUUUCUAUGGUUUCCGUACUGAUUAAUUUUGUUUGUUUUGCACAGUUAUGCCGUAUAGGAUUUUUCAUUUCAGGAUAUUUCUGCCAUGUUCAGACACAUUUUAUAUAAGUGUCUACGAAAGUAAAUUGAAUGUAUUAGUAUUGUAUUUUGAGAGCAAAAAUGGUGGAGAAGCAUCUUGUCCUUGUAUUUUGGUUUCCUCAUAGAUUUAAUAUUUUUCUUUCUGGGUUUUAGAUUUGUAAAGCUGAAGACAAUUUUUUGAAAAUAAUGUUGGCUAGUCCCUAAGUUUCUAAAUCAUUUAAGAAGAGGGUGAAAAAUUAUAAUUGUGUUUCUCACCAUAUGUUCUAUUUCAGAAUGGCAGAGUACUUGUGCUUACUUUGACCUUGCUGCUGGAGUUCAUAUGACUGGUGCAUAUU